UUCCCUACAGAUGGACACGCCCCCACUGAUAUUGUUUUUAAUGCAGCGUGGGAGGGGAGGAUAUGACACGCGAUAUCGCAGCUGAGUGCCACGUGCUGACGUCACUAAGAUCAAUACAGCAAACUCUGAAAGAUGGACAGAGAGACAGGAGAUGGUCCUUUAUAAUGCAGUGUGAUCUGUGCUGCAAUAGAGUUUUGGAAGCUAGAAGUUCAAAACGAGGUGUUGGCAGCACCAUGCUCUCUCUGAAGAUGCUAGGAAGAAUCUGCUCCAUGCCUUUCCAUUCGCUCCUGGGGUUUCCUGCAAGCCCUGACAUUCCUUGGCUUGUAGAUGCAUCACCCCAGUUUCCGCCCCCAUCAUCACA
Molecule: long non-coding RNA, 361 nt
Filed under: Homo sapiens (human)
Lineage: Eukaryota; Metazoa; Chordata; Mammalia; Primates; Hominidae
Description: non-protein coding lnc-PGM5-2:10
Source: RNAcentral